UCCACGCGUUUUCAACCUACUUGGAUAAGACGUUUUCUCUAAAUAUACCAAAUCGUUUUACAAAUAUACUUUCCGACCAAUUCUUUAGAUCACUCUCUUGCCAAAAACCACCGAAUACAGUACGGACAUCCACCAAUAGUACCGUUCUUCCGUUAUUUUUUAAUAUCUAACAUUUUUCGGUGUUUAAAUUUUUGGCGGGUUUUGUGCAGUGUCGCUUUAACCAUGCAAUGGAAAGAGCUGAAGUUGUAGAAUUUAUACUGCGGUUUUUGCUUGUUUGAAAAGUGUUCGACGGAAAAACUAUUAUAAAUUAAAAAGUGUUUUUUUGGAAUUAUUUUUGAAAAAUCGGACGUAGAAUUUAGAACAACAUGGCGACUGUGAUAAGUUCAAAUCAAAGUAUGGUGUCACAGGCCUACGACUAUUAUGUAUGGACUCUAUCUUUAUCAGAUUCAAGAACAAAAGGAUGGCUUUUAGUAGAUUCCCCAGUUCCAACCCUAUUGUUCAUUUGUUUAUAUUUCUUCAUAGUAUGGAUAGGACCAAAAAUGAUGGAAAAUCGAAGACCUUAUAAGCUAUCUUGGCUACUAGUACCUUAUAAUUUAUAUAUGGCAGGACUAAACUUUUAUAUAGCUUCUAGGCUAUUUACUGCUUCAUUCCGCUUGAAAUAUAAUUACUUCUGUGAACCUUGCAGACAGAAAUACACAGCUGAUGAAAUGCAGAUUGCAGAUGCAGUUUGGUGGUACUAUUUUUCUAAACUUUUAGAAUUCUGUGAUACUCUUUUCUUUAUAUUAAGAAAAAAGAACAAUCAACUGUCGUUCUUACAUGUGUACCAUCAUUCUACUAUGUUCGCCUUUUGGUGGAUUGGAAUUAAAUGGGUGCCCAGUGGUUCUACCUUCUUACCUGCCAUGGUCAAUUCUGGAAUACAUGUUUUGAUGUAUGCUUACUACGGACUCUCAGUAUUUGGUCCCAAAGUUGCUCAAUAUUUAUGGUGGAAGAAAUAUUUAACGAUACUUCAACUGAUUCAAUUUACUUGUGCCUUGAUCCUGGGUGCAAACGGAAUAAGAAUGGGUUGUGAAUUCCCCUUAUGGAUGCACUACACACUCAUUGGGUAUAUGAUAUCAUUUAUAGUACUCUUCGGAAACUUCUACGUUAAGGCUUAUUUGGAACGGGGCAACCAAGUAUUCUAUGGAAUGGACUUUGGAUGUGGCCAGGGAAACAGCAAUUAUUCCAAACAAUAUACAGUGCAAUCUCACAACGGAGUUCAAAACGAAGUAGAAAAGAAACACAAUUAAAACUUUUGAUUCUAAAUAUGCUAGAAUUUUAAAAAGAGUAAAUAAAUCCAGAUCUUCCUCAUAAUAGACCAUUUCCCAUAAUGGGUCGUUUUUGUAUAUAGAUAAGGAAUGUACGAUAUAGUUGUAGUAUGAUAAGAAUGAUACAGAUUUAUAGAGUAUAUUAACAAGUUAUAAUUUAUGCAUUACAAUAAACGAUACUGUCUUAAGGGGACUUUUACUUUUUAAAUUAGAAAAAAAUUUAGACAAUGUUAAAUAUUAAAAAAAAUAUUAUAUUUAUGGUUAUAAUUUUUUAACAAAUUGUUAAGAAGGUUAUGACGUACACAAAAAAAAUGUUGGCACUUUUAGUUUUUUUUAUCACUGCAAAUUGCGUCUUUGAAAAACUGCAUAUUAAUUUGAUAGACACUUUUCUGCCUUCCUGUAACAAUUUUUUUCUAAAUUCCAGCGGGAUUGAAUUCCUGAGAUUGUUAAAGUAAAUAUUAUAUUUUUACGGCCUUAAUAGGCAAUUUUAUAAAUAAUAAGAAAAAAAGUCUGUUCUGGAAGUGAAUUUACCCUGUACUAAAGGUGGGAUUUUUUAAAACUUUUUGGGGGUUUAUUUUUAGUAGUCGUAUAAUUAUAGAAACUUUCAGAAAUAUUUUGGUUUACUGAGAUUGGUGUAGUAUAUUUUGAGAAAAACGUCUCCCAGUUUUGAAAAUUGUGAUUUCUUAUUGAAAUUUUAUCGAAUAAAAUGGUCAAAUUUAUUUUUUCCUCUAAUCAGCGAUUCCUGGUGCUUUAUAAUUCUGCAAAAUUUUGAUGUUUCGCUGUUCCUUCUGUUGACUUGAGCAAUACCAGCUGCGUCAAUAUUUUUCGACCAACUCAUUUCUAUUUUCCCUAAUUUUUACUCCCAUAAGGUGCAUGCAACGCAUCCCUAGAUUUUAAUUCUUUAUCGAUGGUUAAUUCAAAAUUGUUCUCUGCAUUAAACUGAUUACUUUUAAAUUGUGUUUUAAUAUUAGGCUUAUUUCGAAGCUUCCCCUUAUUUCUAAUGCCUUUUAAAUAACCAAUUGCUAAAGGUAUUUUUUUUUUCGAUUUUAUAUUAUAAAACACUCGCUUUAUAAGUUUUAGAACACAACUGUCGAGUUGCAGCUGCAUAGAUCAGGCAUCUCGCGCGUUGUUAAAUACCAACGAGUUUUAGCUCAGGUGGGUACUGUUAUAAAUAUAGCUAUAACUUUGUUUGUAUUUCGAACUUUUAAUGAAACACACUCGCUUUAUAAGUUUUAGAACACAACUGUCGAGUUGCAGCUGCAUAGAUCAGGCAUCUAGCGCGUUGUUAAAUACCAACGAGUUUUAGCUCAGGUGGGUACUGUUAUAAAUAUAGCUAUAACUUUGUUUGUAUUUCGAACUUUUAAUGAAAUUUUAGAACAGUAAACUUUUAGAUUAGAUUAGAUUUUUUUAAAUCUAAAUUAAAUUUUUAAUUAAAUUAGAUUUAGUAAAUUAGAUUUUUUUUUAAAUUUACAAAGUAUGUUUCCUUAGCUAAGCGACAACAUUCCAAUUUAUGUUGCUUCAAUUUAUUGAUAUCGUUGAUAGUUGGAAUAUAACUAAUUGCCAACUUUUUCCUUACAUAUAACUAGUCAACCUUGCCCUCUUUUAAAUUUACUGUAACACUAUACCUAUGCAGAUUGUAUCGUAUCCAUUAGUGGUUUAAUAAUUAUUUUUGCUGUCGAUCUAUACCUACCUAUAUACGAAAAGAUAUUCUCUUCACCUCGUUUUUCAAGCCAGUUCUGUCUGAAGAGCUAAAAAUAGAGAAACAUCUGUCACAGAAUGGCAAGUUAGACGAGGUGUAUAUUAUUUACAAAUUAUUUAUAUAUAAUUAUUAACAAAUUUCUCUUCAUGUAGUAGCUUAACAGUAAUUAAUGGAUUCAAUAUCAAAUUAAAAACCAAAAUCAAAAUCUUGGAGACGACUUAUUAAAAACAAUGGGAAAUGGUCUUAAAGUUUUUAUAGGAACGAAUAUCAAAACUUUGUGUUGUGGAAACUGGUCGUACACUUUUUUCAAAAAAAGUUUCGCCACGAGUUUCUUCGACUAGUGAUCAUCAAAUAGGGUACGUUGGUGUGACGUCAAACUGUCAUUUUUUCGAGGUUAGGUUCAGCUUGAUUCUACAUAAACUGGAAAUCAGAUGAAUCAAAGUAGUUUUAAUAAGAAGGGUUGAAUUCUUAUAUUAUAAUUGACCAGUUAUUUUAAAGUACUGCUUUUCAGUUUGUAUAGAUACAGUAGUUAGGUAAAUACUUAAAGCAAAAUGACAGAAUGACGUUAGUAUUAAUAUGGCAUAUACCAACUUAGAAUGCUAGUUAUUCAAUCGAUACAUAAAAAGUGACCUUGUUAAGGGUAGCUAUUUUAUUAGAAUUUCUGAAGCUCGUAGGUCAAAAAUUAUACGUUUACUGAUGAUAUCAAAUUUGUAUAAAGCUUUUAAAACAGUAAACAAUUUGUUUCCUUUCGGUGGGUAUCUGAUAUAUAUCUAGUUAACAUGACAGAAAAAAGAAUACGUUAUAUAUGAGUAUUUAUCAGUUUAAAUUACAUUAGAAAUUGUUUUUUUGUGUAUCCGGAGCACUAAAAAUUCCAUACUUUUUAAAAUUACUUUCAAUUACGAAACUUAAAAAAAAAAACCAAAUAAAAAAAUAUAAUGUUGUCUUUCAGCAUCCUCAAAUAGAUUUUUACGAUUUCUUAAAAUUGCAUAUAAGGUUAAUUUUAAUUACUCUUUUGCUAAAAACUUGAUAUUUUUCCCUUUAAAUAAUUUAUAUCCUUAAUCUACGAUAACUAAUUCCAUUAUGUGAUAAGUAUAUGACAUUAGAGACUUUACUUAGCUCUAUAAAAAUAAAGACGCAAAGUGUACAACGAACUGUAAAUUUAGAAUAGAACAUACCAUACGAAAACGAAUAUAAAAAAUUCCCUCUCCUUCUCUAUCUCACUCUCUCUCUCUCCCUCUCUCCUUUACCCCUUCUCUCCCUCUCUCCCUCCUUCUUUCUCCCCCUCUCCCUCUUUCUCUCUCUUUCUCUCUCUCUCUUUCUCUCUUUCUCUCUCUCUUUCUCUUUUUAUCUCUCUCUAUCUCUUUCUUGUCCUUCCGAUUUUAUAAUCUAAUGUAUAUCAUUGUUAUUCGCUCUGAGCUUUGCUGGUAUCGCCAACUAGCGGAUUACUAAUGCAACUUCGGCUGGAAAUUUAAUGAGAAAAGUAUUGCGAAUAAUAGCAAAUAACUAUUGUAUAUUAUAUGAUUUUAAUUAAUUAAAAUGUAAUUAAACUAAUGCUGAAAUAUUAGUUUACUCACAAUCGGUUAGUAAUUUAUGGAUUUCAAACCUUUGAAGUAAUCAGGAAGCGACUUAUUACUUACUUUACUUUCCCAGCUAGCCGGGAAAGUACUUUCCCGGCUAGCAUCUGUCACUUUUCUACCUGCAAAUGUCAAUGUCAUUUUUGAUUAAAAAAUGGUUUAGAAAGAAUAUAAUCCACUCAACAUUUGUUUAAUUAAGAAAAAACAACAACAACAACAAAAAGAAAACUAUUUGGAAUUAUAAAUAUUAAUAGUUACAUUGGAAUUAUGAUUACUAUUAAAGGUUAAAGUAAGACCGUGUUGCUCAAAAUUAUGAGUUUCAGAAAUAGAUGAUGACAAUAAAUGUCAGAUUCAACAAACUUGUUUUGUUACCUAGCAACGAUCUCACAGGUUACUUAAAAUAAUUCAUCUUAUCACAUAAUGAAAAUGGAUACAGAUAUUUGAAACGAAAUUCUUAUUGGUAGAAUGUGAGUAUUAGAAAUCCAUAAAAUACUAACCGAUUGUGAGUAAAAUAGUAUACAAACCUCGCGGGAACUCAUUCUAGCCUCGCGUCUGUAGUUUACCUCGGUGCUUCGCACCUCGGUAAACUACCUUGCCGCUCGGCUGAAAUAGAGUACUUUCCCGCUAGGUAUGUAUUAUACUAUUACUUCUUUCCUGCUUCAGAUAGUUUCGCAAUUAUAGAUUCGCAAUAGAUUUAUUAUACCCAUUAUAAAAUUUAAAAAACCAAAUUUCAGUAUUUAAAACGUAAGUAUAUUUAAGGUAAAAAUAUAUGCCACAGCUUUGGCCAACUAAUAUUUUUUUAUUAAAGUUUUUAAUUUCAAUGUAUUAAAUUAUUCACUUUGAAAUUUAUGUCAAAUUUCCAGCAAAAGUUCACUGGCUUGUCACUACUGGCGCUCACGAACGUUUAAAUAUCCCCUCUACCUACGAGCUCACAGCGGAUAUACAAAUUUUCUGCGUAGUCAAUAGAUUCGAGUGUCUAAUAAACAGCGUAUAUUAGACCUUAGACCCAAUAAAUUGCUAUAAUAUUCAAAAUAUAGCUCUAGCUAUAAAUAGUUAUUAUUAUUCUUAUAUUUUUGAUAAAUUUUGAUUACAUCUUUCAUAAAACUCAAGAACAACAUUAUUUAACAAUUCAAUUUCAAUUUAAAAAUUCGUUACAUUUUCAUUAAGUUUUCACAGGUUUACAACGUUUUAAUGAAGGCCUAGAGAAUAAAUGAAUAAAACUUGCUCACAGUGUGAGAACUUAAUUGAUUCAUAAUUUCUGGGGAAAAAUAUUUUCCUAAUAUAUCUCAAUUACCCAUCGAAAUAAUAUAAAAAAUAUUGUAUAGAAAUUUUGGCUUAAGGUUUGUGACUGUUUGUAAAAUGCUAAGGUAUGAUAAAAAUUUAAAAAAAUGUUUUGACUGCUUUUUGUUACUAGUGUUGUUGAAUAAUUUCAACCACGAUGAUUUUUAAGAUCAAAAACUAACUCGAAAAUUAUAUUUCUUUUUAUUAUUAUUUAUUUGGGAUUUUUGUUAAGUUUUUUGUUAUAUUAUAUUUUUGUAAAAAUGUGAUUUAGUUUAAAACACAUCUUUUUAGGUGCGUUGUAUGAGAUUGUAAAACAUUCACAAGUUAUUGAUAAAGUUUUGAUUGUUUUAGAUUUUGUCGUAGAAAAUAUUUGAAAUUUUGUUUUAUUAAUAAAAUAAACGUAGGUGUCUGUUAAAAA
This 6276-nucleotide unclassified non-coding RNA is filed under the name Diabrotica virgifera virgifera (western corn rootworm). Its description in RNAcentral is "elongation of very long chain fatty acids protein 4- like". Lineage: Eukaryota; Metazoa; Arthropoda; Insecta; Coleoptera; Chrysomelidae. The record is from RNAcentral.